This 26-nucleotide non-coding RNA is filed under the name Bombyx mori (domestic silkworm). Lineage: Eukaryota; Metazoa; Arthropoda; Insecta; Lepidoptera; Bombycidae. The record is from RNAcentral.
CUCCAGAGGAUUGGUCAAGGUGAAGG